Molecule: ribosomal RNA, 829 nt
Filed under: Bacillus thuringiensis
Lineage: Bacteria; Bacillati; Bacillota; Bacilli; Caryophanales; Bacillaceae
Description: partial 16S ribosomal RNA
Rfam family: Bacterial small subunit ribosomal RNA
Source: RNAcentral
GCGAAUGGAUUAAGAGCUUGCUCUUAUGAAGUUAGCGGCGGACGGGUGAGUAACACGUGGGUAACCUGCCCAUAAGACUGGGAUAACUCCGGGAAACCGGGGCUAAUACCGGAUAACAUUUUGAACUGCAUGGUUCGAAAUUGAAAGGCGGCUUCGGCUGUCACUUAUGNGAUGGACCCGCGUCGCAUUAGCUAGUUGGUGAGGUAACGGCUCACCAAGGCAACGAUGCGUAGCCGACCUGAGAGGGGGAUCGGCCACACUGGGACUGAGACACGGCCCAGACUCCUACGGGAGGCAGCAAUAGGGAAUCUUCCGCAAUGGACGAAAGUCUGUACGGAUGCAACGCCUCGUGAGUGAUGAAAGCUUUCGGGUCGUAAAACUCUGUUGUGAGAGAAGAACAAUUGCUAGUUGAAUAAGCUGGCACCUUGACNNUACCUCACCAUAAAGCCACGGCUAACUACAUGCCAGCAGCCGCGGUAAUACGUAGGUGGCAAGCGUUUUCCGGAAUUAUUGGGCGUAAAGCGCGCGCAGGUGGUUUCUUAAGUCUGAUGUGAAAGCCCACGGCUCAACCGUGGAGGGUCAUUGUAAACUGGGAGACUUGAGUGCAGAAGAGGAAAGUGGAAUUCCAUGUGUAGCGNUGAAAUGAGCACAGAUAUGGAGGAACACCNNUNUUGAAGGCGGCUUUCUGGUCUGUAACUAACACUGAGGANCGNAAAACAUGUGGAGCCACACAUGNAUUAUAUACCCUCNNUANUACAAGCNNNAAACUUAUGAGUGCUGAGUGUGAUAUGAGUUNNNNCCCUCUCCUCCCUCAGANAUAACAGAUUUC